GUUUGAUCAUGGCCCUGAACGAACGCUGGCGGCAUGCCUAACACAUGCAAGUCGAGCGAGGCCCUUCGGGGUUUAGUGGCGCACGGGUGCCCCACGCGUGGGAAUCUGCCCUUUGGUUCGGAAUAACAGCUGGAAACGGCUGCUAAUACCGGAUGAUGACGAGAGUCCAAAGAUUUAUCGCCAGAGGAUGAGCCCGCGUUGGAUUAGGUAGUUGGUGGGGUAAAGGCCUACCAAGCCGACGAUCCAUAGCUGGUCUGAGAGGAUGAUCAGCCACACUGGGACUGAGACACGGCCCAGACUCCUACGGGAGGCAGCAGUGGGGAAUAUUGGACAAUGGGCGCAAGCCUGAUCCAGCAAUGCCGCGUGAGUGAUGAAGGCCCUAGGGUUGUAAAGCUCUUUUACCCGGGAAGAUAAUGACUGUACCGGGAGAAUAAGCCCCGGCUAACUCCGUG
This 452-nucleotide ribosomal RNA is filed under the name uncultured bacterium. Its description in RNAcentral is "bacterial SSU rRNA". It matches the Rfam family "Bacterial small subunit ribosomal RNA", at positions 11 to 507 of the family's 1533-position model. The record is from RNAcentral.